This 325-nucleotide ribosomal RNA is filed under the name uncultured Pseudomonadota bacterium. Its description in RNAcentral is "bacterial SSU rRNA". It matches the Rfam family "Bacterial small subunit ribosomal RNA", at positions 30 to 351 of the family's 1533-position model. The record is from RNAcentral. Lineage: Bacteria; Pseudomonadati; Pseudomonadota.
AUUGAACGCUGGCGGCAUGCUUUACACAUGCAAGUCGAACGGCAGCACGGGAGCUUGCUCCUGGUGGCGAGUGGCGAACGGGUGAGUAAUGCAUCGGAACGUAUCCAAUAAUGGGGGAUAACGCACCGAAAGGUGUGCUAAUACCGCAUACGCCCUGAGGGGGAAAGUGGGGGAUUCGCAAGGACCUCACGUUAAUGGAGCGGCUGAUGCCGGAUUAGCUAGUUGGUGAGGUAAAGGCUCACCAAGGCGACGAUCCGUAGCUGGUCUGAGAGGAUGAUCAGCCACACUGGGACUGAGACACGGCCCAGACUCCUACGGGUGGCAG